ACUCAUACCUUGUAGUGGGAAUACCGUGGUCAUGAAAGUGCUUUUCCCAGGGUGAGUCUCAUCCAUUGCACUUCAGGUGUGCUGAUCCCUGUGAUUUCCCCAAAUGUGGGGAACUGAUCUGAAUAAUUUGUGGUAAUGGAGGACUGCAUUUGUGCUUUCCCUGA
This 164-nucleotide small nuclear RNA is filed under the name Pogona vitticeps (central bearded dragon). Its description in RNAcentral is "U1 spliceosomal RNA (ENSPVIG00000003621.1)". It matches the Rfam family "U1 spliceosomal RNA". Rfam says of the family: U1 is a small nuclear RNA (snRNA) component of the spliceosome (involved in pre-mRNA splicing). Its 5' end forms complementary base pairs with the 5' splice junction, thus defining the 5' donor site of an intron. The record is from Rfam by way of RNAcentral. Lineage: Eukaryota; Metazoa; Chordata; Lepidosauria; Squamata; Agamidae.